This 1346-nucleotide ribosomal RNA is filed under the name uncultured bacterium. RNAcentral describes it as "partial 16S ribosomal RNA". It matches the Rfam family "Bacterial small subunit ribosomal RNA", at positions 28 to 1381 of the family's 1533-position model. The record is from RNAcentral.
GACGAACGCUGGCGGCGUGCUUAACACAUGCAAGUCGAACGGAAAGGCCCUGCUUUUGUGGGGUGCUCGAGUGGCGAACGGGUGAGUAACACGUGAGUAACCUGCCCUUGACUUUGGGAUAACUUCAGGAAACUGGGGCUAAUACCGGAUAGGAGCUCCUGCUGCAUGGUGGGGGUUGGAAAGUUUCGGCGGUUGGGGAUGGACCCGCGGCUUAUCAGCUUGUUGGUGGGGUAGUGGCUUACCAAGGCUUUGACGGGUAGCCGGCCUGAGAGGGUGACCGGCCACAUUGGGACUGAGAUACGGCCCAGACUCCUACGGGAGGCAGCAGUGGGGAAUAUUGCACAAUGGGCGGAAGCCUGAUGCAGCAACGCCGCGUGCGGGAUGACGGCCUUCGGGUUGUAAACCGCUUUCGCCUGUGACGAAGCGUGAGUGACGGUAAUGGGUAAAGAAGCACCGGCUAACUACGUGCCAGCAGCCGCGGUGAUACGUAGGGUGCGAGCGUUGUCCGGAUUUAUUGGGCGUAAAGGGCUCGUAGGUGGUUGAUCGCGUCGGAAGUGUAAUCUUGGGGCUUAACCCUGAGCGUGCUUUCGAUACGGGUUGACUUGAGGAAGGUAGGGGAGAAUGGAAUUCCUGGUGGAGCGGUGGAAUGCGCAGAUAUCAGGAGGAACACCAGUGGCGAAGGCGGUUCUCUGGGCCUUUCCUGACGCUGAGGAGCGAAAGCGUGGGGAGCGAACAGGCUUAGAUACCCUGGUAGUCCACGCUGUAAACGGUGGGUACUAGGUGUGGGGUCCAUUCCACGGGUUCCGUGCCGUAGCUAACGCUUUAAGUACCCCGCCUGGGGAGUACGGCCGCAAGGCUAAAACUCAAAGGAAUUGACGGGGCCCCGCACAAGCGGCGGAGCAUGCGGAUUAAUUCGAUGCAACGCGUAGAACCUUACCUGGGUUUGACAUGGAUCGGGAGUGCUCAGAGAUGGGUGUGCCUCUUUUGGGGUCGGUUCACAGGUGGUGCAUGGCUGUCGUCAGCUCGUGUCGUGAGAUGUUGGGUUAAGUCCCGCAACGAGCGCAACCCUUGUUCACUGUUGCCAGCACGUUAUGGUGGGGACUCAGUGGAGACCGCCGGGGUCAACUCGGAGGAAGGUGGGGAUGACGUCAAGUCAUCAUGCCCCUUAUGUCCAGGGCUUCACGCAUGCUACAAUGGCUGGUACAGAGAGUGGCGAGCCUGUGAGGGUGAGCGAAUCUCGGAAAGCCGGUCUCAGUUCGGAUUGGGGUCUGCAACUCGACCUCAUGAAGUCGGAGCCGCUAGUAAUCGCAGAUCAGCAACGCUGCGGUGAAUACGUUCCCGGGGCU